Mus musculus (house mouse) is the source of this 744-nucleotide long non-coding RNA. RefSeq annotates it as predicted gene, 53884. The record is from RefSeq and is a predicted model, not a curated record. The transcript is spliced from 4 exons. NCBI's taxonomy places the organism in Eukaryota, Metazoa, Chordata, Mammalia, Rodentia, Muridae.
UGUGCUCUUCUUCCAGGGCAGGCUAAGAUUUCCACUUAACAACUAAUAAGCAAUUUUUUUCUCUUUGCCAAGUCACACAGGAAAUGAUCCAAGCUAAUCUGCUGUCUUGACCCUGGACAAGUCUCUUCCUCUGCAGGAAGGGGUACGUGGAUCAAAUGCUUGAGAGGCCUUCUGUGGCUAUAGCACCUUCAGGAUUUCACAUUUUCCCCAUCGAACGACACCUGUGUUCCUCCCCAACUGCUGAGUUCCUCUGCCCUUGGUUGGAAAGCAUCUCAUCACUGCCUCCAAUGGUGCAGUCAGUAAUUCAUUCCUCCAACCUUCACCACAUGACUCAGAACAAGGAACAGAACUUUGAAUCACUGUAUAGCGUCUAGACACCCAUGCCAUGAUACAACUGUGCUGCCUUAGAAGAGAAACUUCAAAGUCACAUGCUGUCCCAGAGUAGAACAACAGUUUAGGACAGAGAGCAUCCAUUGAUGCUGACAAGCCUUGGCAAUGUACUAACAACUCUAUCUACACUGCCUCGUUUAAUCACCACAAAGGCCCUACUAGCACAGAAAGCCAGCAUCCUUUCACGAAGCCCAUGAGACGACUGUGGAGGGCCAAGAGCUAACAUCUUUAUCCAUCUUGAAGCCCAAUCGAUGGCCUCCAGGGCAGCCGGGGACCUCCUUUGUUGUGUCAUAGCACCCUGUCUCUUGCAGAUAACACUCACUCAACUAUCAAUUAUUUGUUUUCCUGCCACAU